GCGUUUGCGAGCCUCGGGUGGUCCUCAGGGAGGGUCUCUCGGCCAGAACGCGUGGAUGCCCACCCACCACUGAGCCUCAUGGAGGUGGUAACAUUUGGCGAUGUGGCUGUGCACUUCUCUCGGGAGGAGUGGCAGUGUCUGGACCCUGGCCAGAGGGCCCUCUACAGGGAAGUGAUGCUGGAGAACCACAGCAGUGUGGCUGGACUAGGUGAGGCUGCACUUCGGGGCCCCUUCCCCUGCAUCAUCAGUCAGCACCCACCCAGCCAGGCCUCCAUCAGAGGCUGGGAUAUGCAGGCCAAAUGCUCAGACUCCUGUGGGCUCCACAGGGGGCUUGGACUCAUGAGUGGUGUGCCAGGCUGGUUCCUAGCUUUGCCCAUGUCGUGGGGUUCAGCCCCCAGGGAGUGGGUGGGAUUCUGGGAGUUAGUAAAGCCUCUUUUUUUUCCUAACUGUUAAAUUGAGAGAAAUAGAAUCCAAACUUGAAACAGCUUAGACAAGAAAAGAGAAAUUAUUGGGUGGAGGAAUCUAAGGAAAAAGUUGUGCAACCAGAGCAAGAGGUGGCAGCGACGCCCACACGGCUGCUAUG
RNAcentral lists this small RNA (583 nucleotides) under Pongo abelii (Sumatran orangutan). Its description in RNAcentral is "retained intron". Lineage: Eukaryota; Metazoa; Chordata; Mammalia; Primates; Hominidae. The record is from RNAcentral.